RNAcentral lists this ribosomal RNA (253 nucleotides) under uncultured bacterium. Its description in RNAcentral is "partial 16S ribosomal RNA". It matches the Rfam family "Bacterial small subunit ribosomal RNA", at positions 524 to 776 of the family's 1533-position model. The record is from RNAcentral.
UACGUAGGGGGCAAGCGUUAUCCGGAUUUAUUGGGCGUAAAGAGCUCGUAGGCGGCCGUUCGCGUCGGAUGUGAAAGCUCAGGGCUCAACUCUGAGAUGCCAUUCGAUACGGGACGGCUAGAGGUAGGUAGGGGAGAGUGGAAUUCCUGGUGUAGCGGUGAAAUGCGCAGAUAUCAGGAAGAACACCCGUGGCGAAGGCGGCUCUCUGGGACGGUACUGACGCUGAGACGCGAAAGCGUGGGGAGCGAACAGG